RNAcentral lists this long non-coding RNA (1982 nucleotides) under Homo sapiens (human). RNAcentral describes it as "HSALNT0106874". Lineage: Eukaryota; Metazoa; Chordata; Mammalia; Primates; Hominidae. The record is from RNAcentral.
AUGUAUUCCCACUAGGCAGGAAAUUGGAUUGAGUUUUCUCUAGACAAAUGGUUCUUGAUUGUGGCCUCAGGCCCAGCAACACCAGUAUCACCUGAAACUUAUUACAAAUGCAAAUUUUCAGACUCUGUGCACUGACUGAAAACAUCCAAGUGUGGGGCCUAGCAAUUUUUGUUUUAACAAGACAUCCAAGUGAUUCUGAAGCACUCAGGUGUGAAUAUCAAACUCAAGAUUUGAGAACCACUGCUCUAGAAAAACUGAUUGGCCCAAGAGAUCUGGCGUCAACUACUUCACUCUACCAUGAAGGCUGCCAGCCAGUUACACCCAAGCACAAGCACAUAGCUUCCAAUAUGCUUUCAAAAUACCAGACACCAAGGGAUCACAAGAUUUUCGAGGAGAGCCUUGAAGUCGGAACACUGAAACCCAAACAAACAGGAAAAAGGACAUAGAGAAAAGCAUGACAUUGAAAAGAACAGAAAGAACAUAAAAACUAUAAUUGACAGCUUCAGAAAGUUAAGAAAAGAGAUUGAAUUCAUAAAACCAGAUCAGACGAUUAAAAAAGGAACAAUAAGAAACAAGAAAGAGCUCUUUGGAAAUUGAAAGUAUGAUUGCUGAAUAAAAAAAAAAUCCCUCUAGAAGAGUUAUAUGUGAAGGUCGUCCAAAUUGAAAUGGCCCACUGUGCUGUGUACCCAGCAGAAGAAUGAAAAAAUACCUGCACCAAUUCAGAACCUGAAGUUUCAGAACACUAGACUUUAAGAGAGAAUGCACUCCAUGUAAACAAGAAGACUCAAGAUUUAAGAAACAAGGCCACCAUCACUGGACAUAGAAAAAGAGGAUCCUCAGAAUCAAAUCUAUAGGAAAUUUCAAGGUAGAAGAUACUGCAACAGACUUAGAGAGUGACUAGAUGACUGGCUCAAGAGACCAGAGGGCUCCAGGAGUGACUGUUCUGGGAGGAAGAAAUGGAUUUAACCAAUUACUUGACAUGGAAACUGAAACUGAAUUUGGGAAGAAUUAGGGUUAUUAACAGAAAAGCAAGACAAUUACUAACUUAAGAAAAUAAGCUGAGUAGGAAAGAAAUGUAAUAAUAGCCCAGAUUUGAAAAAAAUAUUUACAUAGUCAUAUUAAUGUGAGCACUGAACACUGAUUUAAUAAAUGAUGGUAAAACAAUAAUGAGAUGAUGUAGGGAGAGAAACACACAUGGCAGAAGUGGUAAAAGUGGGCUAAAUCUUCGCAGUUCAUUAUAGAAAGUCAAUAGAUGAUGUACAGUUGCUAAAUCAAUCACAAAACAGCAGAAUAAUUGUAUAUGAAUUUACUGAAAAAGCUGAACAUUGGUGUGGGCUCCAUUUAAAGGUAGAACUUAAAUUAGGCAAGUGGGAGGAUAAUGGUUAUGUUAGAAAAAGUUACAUAAUAACUAACAAAGAUCAGGAACUGGGAAACGGAGCUAUAAAAAAGUAUACCAAUUUCAAAAUAUUUUAUGAUAGGGAAGAAAUAGGGUGGCCAGAAAAAGGGAAACAAAUAUUUUUUAAAACUGUACAAUCUCCUAAUGUUUUGCAUAAUCUUAUUCCCUUAUCCAUAGAAAUUCUAGAAAUGGAUAGCCCUCAAAUUUUUUGAACAUUGUAUAAAGUUUAGCAAAGUCUUUUAGCUUCAAAAAUUCUUUUGCUUUUUAAAAAUUUUAAGUAAAUAUCAUAUAAUUAUUUAAAUAAAAUUUAAUAUGCUCUGUAUCAAUCUAUCACCUAUCUUAUAUAUCUAAACCAUUUAUCCAUCUAUCUUUUUGUCUGCAUAUGUACUAAUUGAGCAACAUCUAGAAUGAGCUUCACCUAAUGUUAAUGAUGAUGCUUCUAAGUGAUGAGACUUGGAAUUAUUUUUUACACUUGUCUUUUUACUUUUUGUAUUGAUUAGAAUUGUUUAAUAAUAAUUAUAUUCAUAUUAAAGUAUCUUUAGAGUCUUGAAAUUGAAGACUUAUUUUUGAAUGAAUUUUAUGGCUU